AGCGAACGCUGGCGGCAGGCCUAACACAUGCAAGUCGAACGAACCUUUCGGGGUUAGUGGCGGACGGGGGAGUAACACGUGGGAACGUGCCUUUAGGUUCGGAAUAACUCAGGGAAACUUUUGCUAAUACCGAAUGUGCCCUUCGGGGGAAAGAUUAAUCGCCUUUAGAGCGGCCCGCGUCUGAUUAGCUAGUUGGUUGAGGUAAUGGCUCACCAAGGCGACGAUCAGUAGCUGGUCUGAGAGGAUGAUCAGCCACAUUGGGACUGAGACACGGCCCAAACUCCUACGGGAGGCAGCAGUGGGGAAUCUUGCGCAAUGGGCGAAAGCCUGACGCAGCCAUGCCGCGUGAAUGAUGAAGGUCUUAGGAUUGUAAAAUUCUUUCACCGGGGACGAUAAUGACGGUACCCGGAGAAGAAGCCCCGGCUAACUUCGUG
RNAcentral lists this ribosomal RNA (434 nucleotides) under uncultured bacterium. RNAcentral describes it as "partial 16S ribosomal RNA". It matches the Rfam family "Bacterial small subunit ribosomal RNA", at positions 29 to 507 of the family's 1533-position model. The record is from RNAcentral.